RNAcentral lists this ribosomal RNA (495 nucleotides) under uncultured bacterium. RNAcentral's name for it is "partial 16S ribosomal RNA". It matches the Rfam family "Bacterial small subunit ribosomal RNA", at positions 28 to 507 of the family's 1533-position model. The record is from RNAcentral.
GACGAACGCUGGCGGCGUGCCUAAUACAUGCAAGUAGAACGCUGAAGGAGGAGCUUGCUUCUCUGGAUGAGUUGCGAACGGGUGAGUAACGCGUAGGUAACCUGCCUGGUAGCGGGGGAUAACUAUUGGAAACGAUAGCUAAUACCGCAUAAGAGUAGAUGUUGCAUGACAUUUGCUUAAAAGGUGCAAUUGCAUCACUACCAGAUGGACCUGCGUUGUAUUAGCUAGUUGGUGAGGUAACGGCUCACCAAGGCAACGAUACAUAGCCGACCUGAGAGGGGGAUCGGCCACACUGGGACUGAGACACGGCCCAGACUCCUACGGGAGGCAGCAGUAGGGAAUCUUCGGCAAUGGACGGAAGUCUGACCGAGCAACGCCGCGUGAGUGAAGAAGGUUUUCGGAUCGUAAAGCUCUGUUGUAAGAGAAGAACGAGUGGGGGAGUGGAAAGUUCACACUGUGACGGUAUCUUACCAGAAAGGGACGGCUAACUACGUG